GUGGCGAACGGGUGAGUAACACGUGGGUAAUCUGCCCUGUACUCUGGGAUAAGCCUGGGAAACUGGGUCUAAUACCGGAUAUGACCUUUCACCGCAUGGUGGGGGGUGGAAAGUUCCGGCGGUAUGGGAUGAACCCGCGGCCUAUCAGCUUGUUGGUGGGGUAAUGGCCUACCAAGGCGACGACGGGUAGCCGGCCUGAGAGGGUGACCGGCCACACUGGGACUGAGACACGGCCCAGGCUCCUACGGGAGGCAGCAGUGGGGAAUAUUGCACAAUGGGCGAAAGCCUGAUCCAGCAAUGCCGCGUGUGGGAAGAAGGCCUUCGGGUUGUAAACCACUUUUGUACGGAACGAAACGGUCUGCCCUAAUACGGUGGGCUAAUGACGGUACCGUAAGAAUAAGCACCGGCUAACUACGUGCCAGCAGCCGCGGUAAUACGUAGGGUGCGAGCGUUAAUCGGAAUUACUGGGCGUAAAGCGUGCGCA
Molecule: ribosomal RNA, 484 nt
Filed under: uncultured bacterium
Lineage: Bacteria
Description: bacterial SSU rRNA
Rfam family: Bacterial small subunit ribosomal RNA
Source: RNAcentral